CCUACGGGCUGCACCAGUGGGGAAUGUUGGACAACGGGCGAAAGCCUGAUCCAGCAAUGCCGCGUGUGUGAAGAAGGUCUUCGGAUUGUAAAGCACUUUCGACGGGGACGAUGACGGUACCCGUAGGAGAAGCCCCGGCUAACUUCGUGCCAGCAGCCGCGGUAAUACGAAGGGGGCUAGCGUUGCUCGGAAUGACUGGGCGUAAAGGGCGCGUAGGCGGUUUAUGCAGUCAGAUGUGAAAUCCCCGGGCUUAACCUGGGAACUGCAUUUGAGACGCAUAGACUAGAGGUCGAGAGAGGGUUGUGGAAUUCCCAGUGUAGAGGUGAAAUUCGUAGAUAUUGGGAAGAACACCGGUGGCGAAGGCGGCAACCUGGCUCGAUACUGACGCUGAGGCGCGAAAGCGUGGGGAGCAAACAGGAUUAGAUACCCUUGUAGUC
This 437-nucleotide ribosomal RNA is filed under the name uncultured bacterium. RNAcentral's name for it is "bacterial SSU rRNA". It matches the Rfam family "Bacterial small subunit ribosomal RNA", at positions 338 to 795 of the family's 1533-position model. The record is from RNAcentral.